UACGUAGGGGGCAAGCGUUAUCCGGAUUUACUGGGUGUAAAGGGAGCGUAGACGGUAAUGUAAGUCUGAUGUGAAAGCCCGUGGCUCAACUGCGGGACUGCUUUUGGAACUAUCUAGCUAGAUUGCAGGAGAGGUAAGUGGAAUUCCUAGUGUAGCGGUGAAAUGCGUAGAUAUUAGGAGGAACACCAGUGGCGAAGGCGGCUUACUGGACUGUAACUGACGUUGAGGCUCGAAAGCGUGGGGAGCAAACAGG
RNAcentral lists this ribosomal RNA (253 nucleotides) under uncultured Lachnospiraceae bacterium. Its description in RNAcentral is "partial 16S ribosomal RNA". It matches the Rfam family "Bacterial small subunit ribosomal RNA", at positions 524 to 776 of the family's 1533-position model. The record is from RNAcentral. Lineage: Bacteria; Bacillati; Bacillota; Clostridia; Lachnospirales; Lachnospiraceae.